Molecule: long non-coding RNA, 726 nt
Organism: Papaver somniferum (opium poppy)
Lineage: Eukaryota; Viridiplantae; Streptophyta; Magnoliopsida; Ranunculales; Papaveraceae
Exons: 3
Source: RefSeq, a predicted model, not a curated record
UCAGUCACAAAAAUUUUCAGAAAAAAAAAGAAAGUCAGAGAGAGUGAGAGAGAUCGAGAGACAGAGAGAAAUAGUUAGAUCGAGAAGAGAAGUAGCUGAUGGGAGAGUUAGAUCGAGAAGAGAAGAUAGUUGAUAACUGAAGAUGAGGCUUUUCUUAAAUUGAUACUGCUGUUGAGUUGUGAAUAGAGGGAAGAACAGAUGGAGAACAUGGCUUUUUUCUUGGGAGAAUGGGGUUUGACGCAGUACGCGGUGGUAAUGUUCCGUCCAUCGAUGUUGGCCGUCUCUGCAGUCUAUGCAGCACAAUGCAUAUAUAGACUGAACAAGACCCCACUCUGGGACAAAACUCUUUAGAUUCAUAUGGGUCACUGGAUCUCAGUUAAUUAAUUUUGCAAGUUAUUGGUGAGCUUCCAUGCUGGGUAGCUGAAGAUAAGCCGAGGGUGGUGUUCCACAAAUACGCCAGUCCUAAACGUAGUGUCGCUGCUUUACUUGCCCCAGCCAAAAGGCUUUUGGCUUCGUGAUAAAGUAAUGGAGAAUACAACUGAAUUAUUCUUAAUUGUGUUAGUCUGUUUUCUACAGUAUAUUCAAUCUAUAUUUAUUAGUAUAGUUUAGUGUAAACGAUUGAUCAUUGGUAUAAUGACUAGUGAAUUCAAUGAGCUAUUGAAUGGAGAAAUUAAUUUGAACUCAUGUCCUUCUGAGUAAUAUAGAAACAUCAGUGGAUUUUCUAAA